AUGUUACGGGAGAUAUGUGGCCUCCGUGAUAGUGUAUAUGUGACCAUGGAAGAGAAAGUUGCAAUGUUCUUACUUGUAGUUGGCCAUAGUAUCAAGAUGAGGAUGUUGCAUGGCACCUACAAGCGUUCUUUAUGGACCAUUAGUACACACUUCUCUGCUAUCCCAACAACCCUACUCUCUCUAUAUGGGGAGUUCAUUAAGCUACCUUCCGCUACCGCUCAAGCUUCUGAUGAUUACAAAUGGAAGUGGUUUGGUAAUGCACUUGGAGCACUAGAUGGUUGUCAUAUUGACGUGCUUGUUGAUGUGGCUGACCAAGGAAGGUAUAAGAACAGAAAGCAAGCCAUUACCACUAACAUGCUAGGUGUUGUUGAUUGA
RNAcentral lists this ribosomal RNA (375 nucleotides) under Triticum aestivum (bread wheat). Its description in RNAcentral is "partial small subunit ribosomal RNA". Lineage: Eukaryota; Viridiplantae; Streptophyta; Magnoliopsida; Poales; Poaceae. The record is from RNAcentral.